RNAcentral lists this ribosomal RNA (2932 nucleotides) under Escherichia coli. RNAcentral describes it as "23S ribosomal RNA". It matches the Rfam family "Bacterial large subunit ribosomal RNA". Lineage: Bacteria; Pseudomonadati; Pseudomonadota; Gammaproteobacteria; Enterobacterales; Enterobacteriaceae. The record is from RNAcentral.
GGGUUGUGAGGUUAAGCGACUAAGCGUACACGGUGGAUGCCCUGGCAGUCAGAGGCGAUGAAGGACGUGCUAAUCUGCGAUAAGCGUCGGUAAGGUGAUAUGAACCGUUAUAACCGGCGAUUUCCGAAUGGGGAAACCCAGUGUGAUUCGUCACACUAUCAUUAACUGAAUCCAUAGGUUAAUGAGGCGAACCGGGGGAACUGAAACAUCUAAGUACCCCGAGGAAAAGAAAUCAACCGAGAUUCCCCCAGUAGCGGCGAGCGAACGGGGAGCAGCCCAGAGCCUGAAUCAGUGUGUGUGUUAGUGGAAGCGUCUGGAAAGGCGCGCGAUACAGGGUGACAGCCCCGUACACAAAAAUGCACAUGCUGUGAGCUCGAUGAGUAGGGCGGGACACGUGGUAUCCUGUCUGAAUAUGGGGGGACCAUCCUCCAAGGCUAAAUACUCCUGACUGACCGAUAGUGAACCAGUACCGUGAGGGAAAGGCGAAAAGAACCCCGGCGAGGGGAGUGAAAAAGAACCUGAAACCGUGUACGUACAAGCAGUGGGAGCACGCUUAGGCGUGUGACUGCGUACCUUUUGUAUAAUGGGUCAGCGACUUAUAUUCUGUAGCAAGGUUAACCGAAUAGGGGAGCCGAAGGGAAACCGAGUCUUAACUGGGCGUUAAGUUGCAGGGUAUAGACCCGAAACCCGGUGAUCUAGCCAUGGGCAGGUUGAAGGUUGGGUAACACUAACUGGAGGACCGAACCGACUAAUGUUGAAAAAUUAGCGGAUGACUUGUGGCUGGGGGUGAAAGGCCAAUCAAACCGGGAGAUAGCUGGUUCUCCCCGAAAGCUAUUUAGGUAGCGCCUCGUGAAUUCAUCUCCGGGGGUAGAGCACUGUUUCGGCAAGGGGGUCAUCCCGACUUACCAACCCGAUGCAAACUGCGAAUACCGGAGAAUGUUAUCACGGGAGACACACGGCGGGUGCUAACGUCCGUCGUGAAGAGGGAAACAACCCAGACCGCCAGCUAAGGUCCCAAAGUCAUGGUUAAGUGGGAAACGAUGUGGGAAGGCCCAGACAGCCAGGAUGUUGGCUUAGAAGCAGCCAUCAUUUAAAGAAAGCGUAAUAGCUCACUGGUCGAGUCGGCCUGCGCGGAAGAUGUAACGGGGCUAAACCAUGCACCGAAGCUGCGGCAGCGACGCUUAUGCGUUGUUGGGUAGGGGAGCGUUCUGUAAGCCUGUGAAGGUGUGCUGUGAGGCAUGCUGGAGGUAUCAGAAGUGCGAAUGCUGACAUAAGUAACGAUAAAGCGGGUGAAAAGCCCGCUCGCCGGAAGACCAAGGGUUCCUGUCCAACGUUAAUCGGGGCAGGGUGAGUCGACCCCUAAGGCGAGGCCGAAAGGCGUAGUCGAUGGGAAACAGGUUAAUAUUCCUGUACUUGGUGUUACUGCGAAGGGGGGACGGAGAAGGCUAUGUUGGCCGGGCGACGGUUGUCCCGGUUUAAGCGUGUAGGCUGGUUUUCCAGGCAAAUCCGGAAAAUCAAGGCUGAGGCGUGAUGACGAGGCACUACGGUGCUGAAGCAACAAAUGCCCUGCUUCCAGGAAAAGCCUCUAAGCAUCAGGUAACAUCAAAUCGUACCCCAAACCGACACAGGUGGUCAGGUAGAGAAUACCAAGGCGCUUGAGAGAACUCGGGUGAAGGAACUAGGCAAAAUGGUGCCGUAACUUCGGGAGAAGGCACGCUGAUAUGUAGGUGAAGUCCCUCGCGGAUGGAGCUGAAAUCAGUCGAAGAUACCAGCUGGCUGCAACUGUUUAUUAAAAACACAGCACUGUGCAAACACGAAAGUGGACGUAUACGGUGUGACGCCUGCCCGGUGCCGGAAGGUUAAUUGAUGGGGUUAGCCGCAAGGCGAAGCUCUUGAUCGAAGCCCCGGUAAACGGCGGCCGUAACUAUAACGGUCCUAAGGUAGCGAAAUUCCUUGUCGGGUAAGUUCCGACCUGCACGAAUGGCGUAAUGAUGGCCAGGCUGUCUCCACCCGAGACUCAGUGAAAUUGAACUCGCUGUGAAGAUGCAGUGUACCCGCGGCAAGACGGAAAGACCCCGUGAACCUUUACUAUAGCUUGACACUGAACAUUGAGCCUUGAUGUGUAGGAUAGGUGGGAGGCUUAGAAGUGUGGACGCCAGUCUGCAUGGAGCCGACCUUGAAAUACCACCCUUUAAUGUUUGAUGUUCUAACGUUGACCCGUAAUCCGGGUUGCGGACAGUGUCUGGUGGGUAGUUUGACUGGGGCGGUCUCCUCCUAAAGAGUAACGGAGGAGCACGAAGGUUGGCUAAUCCUGGUCGGACAUCAGGAGGUUAGUGCAAUGGCAUAAGCCAGCUUGACUGCGAGCGUGACGGCGCGAGCAGGUGCGAAAGCAGGUCAUAGUGAUCCGGUGGUUCUGAAUGGAAGGGCCAUCGCUCAACGGAUAAAAGGUACUCCGGGGAUAACAGGCUGAUACCGCCCAAGAGUUCAUAUCGACGGCGGUGUUUGGCACCUCGAUGUCGGCUCAUCACAUCCUGGGGCUGAAGUAGGUCCCAAGGGUAUGGCUGUUCGCCAUUUAAAGUGGUACGCGAGCUGGGUUUAGAACGUCGUGAGACAGUUCGGUCCCUAUCUGCCGUGGGCGCUGGAGAACUGAGGGGGGCUGCUCCUAGUACGAGAGGACCGGAGUGGACGCAUCACUGGUGUUCGGGUUGUCAUGCCAAUGGCACUGCCCGGUAGCUAAAUGCGGAAGAGAUAAGUGCUGAAAGCAUCUAAGCACGAAACUUGCCCCGAGAUGAGUUCUCCCUGACCCUUUAAGGGUCCUGAAGGAACGUUGAAGACGACGACGUUGAUAGGCCGGGUGUGUAAGCGCAGCGAUGCGUUGAGCUAACCGGUACUAAUGAACCGUGAGGCUUAACCUUACAACGCCGAAGCUGUU